GGACCCAUAUGCUUCCCUAGCCGCCUGGCCUCUGGAGAUAAGGACAAGCUGGUCUUCCAGGGCGGGGCUGGUUAGCAAGGUCUCGCAUUGCUCGGCCAUGGAGCGUGAAACCAUCAAGCUGAUCCAUCGGCAAGCAUUCAACUGGCACUCAACCUGACUUUGGAGGAGUUCGCAAAUGGUUGCCCUUGGUGACAGCCGGCAAAGUUCCAGGAAGCUGCCGAACCCUUUCCGAGGUUCGAACUGAGUUGUCCGGUGGCACAGAGCACCACAACGAAUCCACUGGCAGCCUUCAGAAUUCCACAGAACUGCUGUCCCUUGCCGUGGAGACCGGUUUUAUGCAGCUUGGGCUUCUCCUUCGACGAAAGAGGAAAGCGACGCAUUGACAUCAGCACCAGUCCUGCCUCUUCCUGCUGACAAGGGGACUUUAAGCAGGAAUUUAAGGCAGAGCCGGCCCAUUGUUAGUGAGAGAGUCACCGCCAGCUGCUCCGUCGGUCUGGUGCACUCUUCGGCUCUGCUGCUUGUGUGCUACUACCUGCUAUAUGUAAAUAUAGUAUAAAGCUUUUCAUCUCCUCUUCGUCUGCUCCAAGAGUCCAUUUCUCGUCUUCGACCCCGAGUCGCGAUACGCAGGAAUUUUUCUUCCCAUUACCAAGUGUGGGAGGCCAAGAGUCGACUUCAUCAAUAUGAUGCUAGCAGUGCGAUCAUGGGUAUUAAGAAUAAAACGAACUGAUCAGUUCUAAACAGAUUCUAAAAUAUUAAUUAGUGUAGUUUUAUUUAGUCCCAUACGGCUGAAGCGUAUUCAACCUUUGGACGGAUUAAUAUAUGAUAAAGCAUUAUUGGAAGGCACGCGGGUGCUUCAUGAAAGUUUCAACAUAGGUAAACCAAAGUACGACUAGCAUUGCUAGAGAUGUAAGUUAUUGAGAGUGCCUGGACAGAUGGUUAGUUAUAUGAAUACCAAGGUAUUUAUAACUACUGACGUCUUGAAGCUCGGUUCCAUUCACAUUGUAGUUAAAAGGUUCAGAACAGUUCGAAGAACGCAAGAUUUUCAUGCUUUUACACUUGGUUGGGUUAAGAGUCAUUAGCCAAGCACUGCACUAGUUAGAUAUAGUCAGCAUCGGUUUGAGAAAGGUAGUUAUCAUUUUAUAUUGUUUAUCCUAUGGUAUAGGACACAGUCGUCAGCAAAUAACUUUACAAAAGAGCUAAAUUUAUUUGGAAGGUCAUUAAUAUAGAUUAAGAAGAGCAGUGGACCCAGCACUGAAUCUUGAGGAAUGCCAGACUUAACUACACAGGGGUGUGAGGAACAAUGAUUAGCUAUUACAUGCUGAGUGUGGUGAGUCAGGAAGCAUUCUAUGCACUUCAGGAUGUUUGGGUCAAUAUGUUAAAUGCACUAGCUUUAGAAAGCAACAGAUGGUGGGACAUCUCGUCAAAGGCUUUUGCAAAGUUCAAGAACACACAAUCAACUGGUAUUCCAUAAUCCAAAGCUGGAAUGACAUUACGAGUAAAUGACAGAAGCUGAGUUUCGCAAGUAUACUGCUUACAGAAUCAUGCGCGCAGACUGCCAGCCUCAAAGUAUCGGCUGAAGAGUCCUGCUAUACGAAGGUCUCUAACAAGUCCGGCACAACAGUGGAGUCUAGCAUCUAAAGUGGUGUCUAAACUUUCACCCAAAUAAUUUCACCGGAAACUGAAGAAGCGCGGCUGCUUUGAGUAGGAAUAUGCAAGUCUAGAAAUCCGCCAAUCCAACGCCAGCAACAACUCUCCGCUUGGUGCCCA
Molecule: long non-coding RNA, 1767 nt
Organism: Dermacentor albipictus
Lineage: Eukaryota; Metazoa; Arthropoda; Arachnida; Ixodida; Ixodidae
Source: RefSeq, a predicted model, not a curated record